This 387-nucleotide ribosomal RNA is filed under the name Asobara tabida. Its description in RNAcentral is "eukaryotic LSU rRNA". The record is from RNAcentral. Lineage: Eukaryota; Metazoa; Arthropoda; Insecta; Hymenoptera; Braconidae.
CCUGAGAAACCCAAAAGAUCGAAUGGGGAGAUUCAUCGUCAGCUCAUUUUGUAUAUAUAUGGGAUAUGAUAUGGGUUACUACUUGUAGUAUUGCCUCUACAUUCUUCUAUAUUUUAUUGCAAGAUGUUGUCGGCGUGCACUUCUCCCCUAGUAGGACGUCGCGACCCGUUGAGUGUCGGUCUGCGGCCCAAGUGGUAGUCUUUAAUUUUUUUCGAAAAAAAUUGAAGACCCUUGGUGUUUCCUGACUGGCUACUCGGCGGUAUUCGUACGGUAUUAAGCCGCAUUUAUGCGUUCAUAUCCAUCACAAGCGCGGUCAAUUUUUGGCAGUACGGACCUAGUGCCGUCGCUAUAAUUGAUCAGCUGUUGGUUGUAUGGUAUUCUAGAACU